UGGGGAAUAUUGCACAAUGGGCGAAAGCCUGAUGCAGCAACGCCGCGUGAGCGAUGAAGGCCUUUGGGUCGUAAAGCUCUGUCCUUGGGGAAGAAAAAAAUGACGGUACCCUUGGAGGAAGCCCCGGCUAACUACGUGCCAGCAGCCGCGGUAAUACGUAGGGGGCAAGCGUUAUCCGGAAUUAUUGGGCGUAAAGAGUGCGUAGGUGGUUUUGUAAGCGCGGGGUGAAAGGCAAUAGCUUAACUAUUGUAAGCCCUGCGAACUGUGAGACUUGAGUGCAGGAGAGGAAAGUGGAAUUCCUAGUGUAGCGGUGAAAUGCGUAGAUAUUAGGAGGAACACCAGUGGCGAAGGCGACUUUCUGGACUGUAACUGACACUGAGGCACGAAAGCGUGGGGAGCAAACAGG
This 406-nucleotide ribosomal RNA is filed under the name uncultured prokaryote. RNAcentral describes it as "bacterial SSU rRNA". It matches the Rfam family "Bacterial small subunit ribosomal RNA", at positions 355 to 776 of the family's 1533-position model. RNAcentral also lists the same sequence under 1 other name. The record is from RNAcentral.